This 266-nucleotide ribosomal RNA is filed under the name uncultured bacterium. RNAcentral describes it as "partial 16S ribosomal RNA". It matches the Rfam family "Bacterial small subunit ribosomal RNA", at positions 524 to 795 of the family's 1533-position model. The record is from RNAcentral.
UACGUAGGGCGCAAGCGUUGUCCGGAAUUAUUGGGCGUAAAGAGCUCGUAGGCGGUUUGUCGCGUCUGCUGUGAAAGCCCGGGGCUCAACCCCGGGUCUGCAGGUGCGGGCAGACUAGAGUGCAGUGGGGAGACUGGAAUUCCUGGUGUAGCGGUGAAAUGCGCAGAUAUCAGGAGGAACACCGAUGGCGAAGGCAGGUCUCUGGGCUGUUACUGACGCUGAGGAGCGAAAGCAUGGGGAGCGAACAGGAUUAGAUACCCGGAAUC